GAAGUACUCCCUCCGUCCCCAAAAAAUUGUCUUAGAUUCGUCUAGAUACGGAUGUAUCUAAUACUAAACCAUGACUUGAUAAAUCCAUAUUUAGACAAAUCUAAGACAAGAAUUUUGGGACGGAAGGAGUACUCU
Triticum aestivum (bread wheat) is the source of this 135-nucleotide non-coding RNA. NCBI's taxonomy places the organism in Eukaryota, Viridiplantae, Streptophyta, Magnoliopsida, Poales, Poaceae. The record is from Rfam.